This is a long non-coding RNA of Mirounga angustirostris (Northern elephant seal), 5198 nucleotides long. RefSeq lists it as uncharacterized. The record is from RefSeq and is a predicted model, not a curated record. The transcript is spliced from 6 exons. Lineage: Eukaryota; Metazoa; Chordata; Mammalia; Carnivora; Phocidae.
CGUCCGUCCCUCCCUCCUUCCCUAUGUCCAUCACAUUGUUUCGUCACAGAUUUUCGAAGUGGAGAUACAAUUCGCAUGCCAUAUUUCGCAUACUCUUAAAAGUGGGCCAUUGGGUGGCCUUUUUUUCUUUUUUUUUAAGGUGGCUCACAAAGCUGCACAACCUUCACUGCAAUUUCCAGAACAUUUCCAUCACCGCCAAAAGAAAUAAACACCUCUACUACCCCUCCCCCCUUCCUGUCCGCGCCUCGCCCCCACCCGCCGUCACCGUCGCCCUCGCCGUCACCGUCGCCCUCGCCCUCACCCGGGCUCUCUUCACUGUUCUCCCCCAACAGGGAGUAGAAAGGGAAGUUAGAGGGAACAUUCUUCCUCCCCUACACCUGCUGAACGCACAUGGACACACACCGCAACCCUCCCCGCCAGGCGCGCGCACCCACCCACCCCCGCCCCGCCAAGCCCCGCCCCGCCACGCCACGCCACGCCACGCCCCCCAUCCCGGCCUUACGUGUACCUUACGUACCUCUGCACGGACUCGAGAUUUGGCAAUAGCCUUGAUUGCCCUGCAAUGUUUCCAAACCUCGGCGCUCCCCAACCUUCCCCACCCCGACCCCCGCCCCUUCGAAGAAGAACUAACCUAAUUCGGGGAGCUUCCAGGUUGCUUGAACGCCUGAAAUGGUGGGGACAGAGGCGUUCCUGGAGAGGGGUCACGGAACACGGAAGCUCUGCCCCCCUUCCCUUUGCCUCUGUUCCAUCUGGAGUUUCCUCAGUUGUAUCCUUUUAGGACACAGCGGUCAUGUAAGAAAUGAGAAAAAAAAGGACUGAAGGACUGAACCGGGCUAGACUGGUUUAAAAUUCUUCACUAGCGUCCAUGCCGAAUACAUUUCGACGACAGGGGCCUUCGCACGGCUUUUGGUGCACAGAAGACCGAUGCACCGAAGCCUGCCGAUCUCGGGACGUGUCCACGAGGGGAAAGAGUGUCAGCCUAUCGGAAAAGAGAGUCGGUUAACGUAGAUUGCAAAGGCAUUCGUUCAUCCCGAGAGACUUCCUCUCCAUGAUGGCGGGUGGCGCGAGAUGGAAGAGUUGGCUUCCAUGAAAAAGGGGCCCUUUCUUGAAGACCCUGCCCAGCUAUCGGGGUUUUGUUGGUUUGUGUUUUGUCAUCUGUGAUAGGAAGGCAUCUUCUUAGCCAUCGGGAGGGAAACCUCAACAAAUUCAGCCAUUCAGAUCACAAGGGAUUUCUUGGGUUUGGUGGAUCUGAGAUCUGGUCUGCCUCCGACUGCUCCCCGAGAUUGCCUUUAUGCCGAGAAUGGGAUUCCUCAUCAGACACACAGAAGUCCGGCUCCUUGCCACGGAGCUGGCUGCUCUAUGGAUGCCUUUAAAAAGGAAGCCUGCCUUUAAUUCGGACGUCGGAACGUGAUCGGUCGCUUUUUCAUGGGGGGUUGGCCAAUUAAAUUUCCCCCGCCUUGGGCGCCUGGGUGGCUCAGUUGGUUAAGCGGCUGCCUUCGGCUCCGGUCAUGAUCCUGGAGUCCCUGGAUCGAGUCCCGCAUCGGGCUCCCUGCUCAGCAGGGAGUCUGCUUCUCCCUCUGACCCUCCCCCCUCUCAUGUGCUCUCUCUCAUUCAUUCUCUCUCUCUCUCUCUCUCUCUCUCUCUCUCUGUCUCAAAUAAAUAAACAAACAAACAAACAAACAAAUAAAUAAAUAAAUAAAAUCUUAAAAAAAAAAAAUUCCCCCCGCCUUACAAAGCAGAGACUGGUGAAGGGUCCUCCAAGUGCCCUCUGGAAAUCAAGAGCUUCUGUAUCAAGAGGCUGGAAAACGCAUCUUCCCCUUCUUCCUGGUGAAUCCAAUUCUAGGGGUUGAUUCAAAGGAAAUCAUGUUUUAGAUGCUAAAACGUAAAGCUUACUUUUGCAAAAAUGUGCAUCGCGGCAUAGGGUUUAGGAAUCCCUUGUGGCAGACCGACAACCGUGUGUCCCUCACGUCCCGGCACGUGUGCACCCUCACGUCCUAUGACUUCGAUGCUCCUGCUAUCCAGAGGUAGGCUUGAUUGCUCUGUCCCUUGAUUUUGGACCGGGUCUUGGGACUUGUCUUGACCCAAAGAAUAGAGCAGAAGUGACACUUGGCUGGUUUCACAGCCUACACCUGAAGAGGUGGUCUGCCGGCGUUCUCGACCUUCUUGGCAUGCCGUCCUGAGACCUCCACGUAAGAAAGCCAGUCUAGCUGACUGGAGCAUGAGAGGCAUUGACAACAGAGGCAGCCCGGUGCUCGGCGGCACCGACUGCCAGACGUGUGAAAGUUGACCCUCUGGCCGAAAGCCACUGCUUGAGUGAGCCCGGCGUAAACCCGCAGAACCCAAGGGGCCACCCAGGGCAAGCACCAGGAAGUUAUCGAUAAAGAAAUGCUGUUUCGAGCCAUUGCGGUGUUAGGAUGAUGCACCCUGAGGAUCAGCUAGCUGCGCAGCAGCGAUAGAUACCGUGCACACAGAUACACACCACACAACACACCACACCACACCCCCCCCCCACACACACGUGUGCAGAAAACCAAACCAACGAAACAAACCAAAACUCUGUAGAACCCUGCACCAAAUGUUGAGGAAACAACGGCCCACCCUCACAAGAAACACCUGCACGCUACAUGUACAAUGCAUAGGGAGCCUAUACUUGCAAGUGCUUACUUGCAUGGGAAACAUUUCACGAUAACAUGAGUCUCAGAUGGCCCAAGCGGGGUUCUUUUGACAUGUCUGAAUUGUGUACACAAUUAGAGAAAGCCUGCUAGGAGACUGGGUGAUCAGAAACUAGGAAGCUCUUUGGUUCCCUCAGUGAAGCCCCGACUUUUGGGGAGGAACCAACACUCAGGGAGAUGCUCUGGUCUUCAUUUGGUUGGUUGGUUGGUUGGUUGGUUGGUUGGUUGGUUGCUGCAGCUUUUGCUAUCUUUGCAUAAAACCGACCCUGUUUCCAUUGGGAAUGGAAAACAACUGACGGGUGGGAUCUGUACACGGUAAUGCUGCUUCGCAGUUGCAUUUGUUUUACUAAAAGAGGGAGAUUUGAACAUUGGGUCUUUCGUGUCCUCUCCAUUCAUGUCCUCUCCACAAAUAAGACUGAAACAAAGGCUAAAAUUUGUUUGCAUCUUGUUUGUGUCUAUGUGUCCGUAUGUGUUAUACAUGUGAGGUAUUUCCUCCACCUCCGGGUGCUAUUGCUAACAUCCAUUUGUAAAGGAGCUCUAUUUAAUGAGUUCUAUUUUUAUUUUAUUUUAUUUUAUUUUAUUUAUUUUAUUCUUUAAAGAUUUUAUUUAUUUAUUUGACAGAGAGAGACACAGCGAGAGAGGGAACACAAGCAGGCGGAGUGGGAGAGGGAGAAGCAGGCUUCCCGCCGAGCAGGGAGCCCGAUGCAGGGGCUUGAUCCCAGGACCCUCGGAUCAUGACCUGAGCUAAAGGCAGACGCUUAACCACUGAGCCAUCCAGUCAAAAUAAUGAAGAAGAGGAGGAAGACAGGCCGAUGCUAGAAAUCUGAAAUCCACUCCUCCUCCUCCCCAAGUACAGGCACCAGAACCGAUGCCCAACCCACUGGCUUCCGGAGGGCUGAAAAGCCACCACAGACAAAGCCUAUUAAGCAGAAGGAGAUGAAGAAAGGGGCGGAGGCGGAGGCGGAGGCGGAGGCGGAGGCGGAGGCGGAGGCGGAGGCGGAGGCGGAGGCGGAGGCGGAGGCGGAGGCGGAGGCGGAGGCGGAGGCGGAGGCGGAGGCGGAGAAGAAAAAAAAGAAAAGGCCCUGCUACCAAAUACUGGCUGUCUCUGCAGAAGUCUGGACUCAAGGUCAACUGAUAAUGGCUGCAGCCUAUGAAGAAGCGAGGUCCUGAUUCCUUACCUGAGAAAAGGAGCCUAAGACCCCAUCCAGGUUGUACCAGCUCUCAGAGCAUGCCCACAGCCUCUUCUCCUUGUCCUCAGAUAACCUCCUGACAUCAGGGACUCAGUUUUGCCUCAUUCAGAUGUCAGGUCUCCACCCCGAAGUAAACAUGGGAAUCUAUGAGAAAUUAGAUCCCAUCCAGCAAGAGCUGAAUCCGAGUCCUCUGCUCACCCCACGACGGAAAAGAAUAUGCACAGGCCUGCAUCCCUCUUCUCCUUCUCCACCAUGUCGGAAGAAAAGAUUUUACUGGACAGAGACACAGCGAGAGAGGGAACGCAAGCAGAGGGAGUGGGAGAGGGAGAAGCGGGCUUCCCGCCGAGCAGGGAGCCCGAUGCGGGGCUCGAUUAUCGGGACCCUGGCACCCUGGCACCCUGGCACCCUGGGAUCAUGACCUGAGCCGAAGGCAGACGCUUAAUGACUGAGCCACCCAGUCGCCCCCCACUUUCCACCUUGACCGUGCCUAGUCGUCCACCCGUCUAGUCCUCUUGGCCGCGCCUGGUCUUGCCCUCGAAUGUGUUCGUCUGGAGCACAGAGCUAGAUCCAGAGAAUGAGAGAAUGAGAUCGAUGGACCCACGGACGGAAAUCAAGUUUCUCUUUCCCUGAAAUGACCUAGGACACUCCUCUUCUAGUCAGCUCCCAUCCUGCUCCCCCACCCCCAACAACCUCUCAUCGGACCUUCCCCUUUUGCCACCAGAAAGCUUUUCCACUCCUCCGCCUGGCCUGCGUUUGCUUGGCGUCUCUGCCAGACCCAGGCGGUGGUGGCCGACCGCAGACUCUCUUGCCCUCAAGAAAUGAUUCCCGCUCUCAUGUGGGUGAUCUUUUAUCUCCACAGAGGUGGCUCACAAAGCUGCACAACCUUCACUGCAAUUUCCAGAACAUUUCCAUCACCGCCAAAAGAAAUAAACACCUCUACUACCCCUCCCCCCUUCCUGUCCGCGCCUCGCCCCCACCCGCCGUCACCGUCGCCCUCGCCGUCACCGUCGCCCUCGCCCUCACCCGGGCUCUCUUCACUGUUCUCCCCCAACAGGGAGUAGAAAGGGAAGUUAGAGGGAACAUUCUUCCUCCCCUACACCUGCUGAACGCACAUGGACACACACCGCAACCCUCCCCGCCAGGCGCGCGCACCCACCCACCCCCGCCCCGCCAAGCCCCGCCCCGCCACGCCACGCCACGCCACGCCCCCCAUCCCGGCCUUACGUGUACCUUACGUACCUCUGCACGGACUCGAGAUUUGGCAAUAGCCUUGAUUGCCCUGCAAUGUUUCCAAACCUCGGCGCUCCCCAACCUUCCCCACCCCGACCCCCGCCCC